Long non-coding RNA from Leptonychotes weddellii (Weddell seal), 886 nucleotides. RefSeq lists it as uncharacterized. NCBI's taxonomy places the organism in Eukaryota, Metazoa, Chordata, Mammalia, Carnivora, Phocidae. The record is from RefSeq and is a predicted model, not a curated record.
AGCCACCCAGACGCCCCGAAAUCUGGGCCUGGGGCGUUGAACACUGGCCUGUGUGAAUUUCCAACUCCAGACCCUCAGUGAUAAUGACAGAAGGGAAGAAGAGGAUUUGGAAAUCAUUCAGCAAGUCUAAUAAUAUACACAGCAUUUCUUUUUCAACUGGAUGGACCCUCAAUCUUCACCAUCAUCACAUUAAAUAUCUUAUUAUACUUUGGAUUCCAUGAAGUCAGCAAUUUCCUCUGCUAUAUAUAAAACAUGAUAGAAGUGCUAUAUUUUAAGACAAAAAAAGAAUAAGACAAGAAAACAAAAAUCAAAUAAAGCUUAGAAAAAAAUACAACUGUAAUUUAUAUCAAGUUAAAGAAGAAAACCAGAACUGUUUAUUCAUAGAGGUUCCGGAAGAUACUGGAUAAAAUCCUACCAACAUCCUUAAUAAAAAGUCUAAGUAGAUAGAAAUAAAAUAGCAAGCAUAAAUAUAAUCUGUGAAUUUCGGUUUUAUUUCUCAUUACUUCUAAAUCAUACUUCUCUCAUCUUAAAGUUUCUAAGUUAAUAUUCUCCUAGAUGAAGCAGCUCUUUCAUACUAUUCUCUAAGCAGGAAAUUAGUAAGAACUUUAAUGUUGUCAAUAAAUGUGCUCUGGAUUUCCUUUAAGUAAAAGAAAUCUCUAGCAAUUAGGUGAUUCAAGUUUAAGCAUUCAUGUGGAUUGGCGUCAAUUAAAUGUUGGCAAAGGUCAGUGCAAACACUGAAAGUGGAAUAAAAAUUGUAAGGGUCUAGUGAUUAAAUAGGCAGUGGGUGAUUAGUCACAUUCAUAGCUAUGGGUAUGUUUUCAAACUGCUUAAGGAGAAUUUGAAAACACAACAUCAUAUACAUGUAGUUCUGGAAAGAAAUUGGUUG